AUACGGAGGUGGCUAGCGUUGUUCGGAAUUACUGGGCGUAAAGCGCGCGUAGGCGGAUCGUUAAGUCAGGGGUGGAAGCCCGGAGCUCAACUCCGGAACUGCCCUUGAUACUGGCGAUCUCGAGUCCGGGAGAGGUGAGCGGAAUUCCUAGUGUAGAGGUGAAAUUCGUAGAUAUUAGGAGGAACACCAGUGGCGAAGGCGGCUCACUGGCCCGGUACUGACGCUGAGGUGCGAAAGCGUGGGGAGCAAACGGGAUUAGAAACCCUAGUAGUCC
Molecule: ribosomal RNA, 274 nt
Filed under: uncultured bacterium
Lineage: Bacteria
Description: partial 16S ribosomal RNA
Rfam family: Bacterial small subunit ribosomal RNA
Source: RNAcentral